This 85-nucleotide non-coding RNA is filed under the name Bathycoccus prasinos. The record is from RNAcentral. Lineage: Eukaryota; Viridiplantae; Chlorophyta; Mamiellophyceae; Mamiellales; Bathycoccaceae.
CGUAAAGAAAGAAAGAAAGAAAGAAAGAGAAAGAGACGCAAUAACAAUACUAUCUCGGCAUAUUUCUGUUUUGUAGGUUGUUUUC